RNAcentral lists this ribosomal RNA (503 nucleotides) under uncultured bacterium. RNAcentral's name for it is "bacterial SSU rRNA". It matches the Rfam family "Bacterial small subunit ribosomal RNA", at positions 28 to 519 of the family's 1533-position model. The record is from RNAcentral.
GAUGAACGCUAGCGACAGGCUUUAACACAUGCAAGUCGAGGGGCAGCGUGGUGUGGCAACACACUGACGGCGACCGGCGCACGGGUGAGUAAACGCGUAUGCAACUUGCCUAUCAGAGGGGGAUAACCCGUCGAAAGACGGACUAAUACCGCAUGAAACAGGGGUCCCGCAUGGGGAUAUUUGUUAAAGAUUACAUCGCUGAUAGAUAGGCAUGCGUUCCAUUAGGUAGUUGGUGGGGCAACGGCCCACCAAGCCGACGAUGGAUAGGGGUUCUGAGAGGAAGGUCCCCCACACUGGUACUGAGACACGGACCAGACUCCUACGGGAGGCAGCAGUGAGGAAUAUUGGUCAAUGGGCGUGAGCCUGAACCAGCCAAGUCGCGUGAGGGAUGAAGGCCCUACGGGUUGUAAACCUCUUUUAUAAGGGAAUAAAGGACAUCACGUGUGGUGUUUUGCAUGUACCUUAUGAAUAAAGCAUCGGCUAACUCCGUGCCAGCCGCCGCC